RNAcentral lists this ribosomal RNA (1210 nucleotides) under Curvularia papendorfii. RNAcentral's name for it is "eukaryotic LSU rRNA". It matches the Rfam family "Eukaryotic large subunit ribosomal RNA", at positions 157 to 1386 of the family's 3401-position model. The record is from RNAcentral. Lineage: Eukaryota; Fungi; Ascomycota; Dothideomycetes; Pleosporales; Pleosporaceae.
GGGCGCUUUGGCUUUGGCAGCGGUCCAAGUUCCUUGGAACAGGACGUCACAGAGGGUGAGAAUCCCGUACGUGGUCGCUAGCUAUUGCCGUGUAAAGCCCCUUCGACGAGUCGAGUUGUUUGGGAAUGCAGCUCUAAAUGGGAGGUAAAUUUCUUCUAAAGCUAAAUAUUGGCCAGAGACCGAUAGCGCACAAGUAGAGUGAUCGAAAGAUGAAAAGCACUUUGGAAAGAGAGUCAAACAGCACGUGAAAUUGUUGAAAGGGAAGCGCUUGCAGCCAGACUUGCUUGCAGUUGCUCAUCCGGGCUUUUGCCCGGUGCACUCUUCUGCAGGCAGGCCAGCAUCAGUUUGGGCGGUGGGAUAAAGGUCUCUGACACGUUCCUUCCUUCGGGUUGGCCAUAUAGGGGAGACGUCAUACCACCAGCCUGGACUGAGGUCCGCGCAUCUGCUAGGAUGCUGGCGUAAUGGCUGUAAGCGGCCCGUCUUGAAACACGGACCAAGGAGUCUAACAUCUAUGCGAGUGUUUGGGUGUCAAGCCCGAGCGCGUAAUGAAAGUGAACGGAGGUGGGAACCCGCAAGGGUGCACCAUCGACCGAUCCUGAAGUUUACGGAAGGAUUUGAGUAAGAGCAUGGCUGUUGGGACCCGAAAGAUGGUGAACUAUGCUUGAAUAGGGUGAAGCCAGAGGAAACUCUGGUGGAGGCUCGCAGCGGUUCUGACGUGCAAAUCGAUCGUCAAAUUUGGGCAUAGGGGCGAAAGACUAAUCGAACUAUCUAGUAGCUGGUUCCUGCCGAAGUUUCCCUCAGGAUAGCAGUAACGUAUUCAGUUUUAUGAGGUAAAGCGAAUGAUUAGAGGCAUGGGGGUUGAAACAACCUUCACCUAUUCUCAAACUUUAAAUAUGUAAGAAGCCCUUUGUUACUUAAUUGAACGCGGGCAUUUGAAUGAAACGUUAUUAGUGGGCCAUUUUUGGUAAGCAGAACUGGCGAUGCGGGAUGAACCGAACGAGGGGUUACGGUGCCGGAGUACACGCUCAUCAGACACCACAAAAGGUGUUGGUUCAUCUAGACAGCAGGACGGUGGCCAUGGAAGUCGGAAUCCGCUAAGGAGUGUGUAACAACUCACCUGCCGAAUGAACUAGCCCUGAAAAUGGAUGGCGCUCAAGCGUGUCACCUAUACCCCUCCGCCGGGGCAAAAUUUACGCCCCGGCGAGUAGGC